CAGAGAGGGAUAGAUAGACAAAUAGACAAACAACAAGAGCAAAAACCAAAAAGGAAAGGAACCAGAUAUUCGCAAACAAAAUCAUUUCCUCAUUUUGUUUUCGUAUGUCUGCUCUUCAACGAUUCAUACAUCCACCUAACCAGCGUGUUACUCUCAAUUGCAGGGAGGAGGCAAUUUGCUUUGACUGACACUACCUGAACGUGUUUGCUGCACUUGAAUCCUUGAAUUUGUGAUUGUAAUGAAACUACUCCUAUUACUUAAAAAA
RNAcentral lists this non-coding RNA (265 nucleotides) under uncultured Geminigera. The record is from RNAcentral. Lineage: Eukaryota; Cryptophyceae; Pyrenomonadales; Geminigeraceae.